RNAcentral lists this long non-coding RNA (208 nucleotides) under Olea europaea (common olive). Its description in RNAcentral is "long non-coding RNA (OEUR_LNC007879)". Lineage: Eukaryota; Viridiplantae; Streptophyta; Magnoliopsida; Lamiales; Oleaceae. The record is from RNAcentral.
CUGCUUCUAACCGAGGCCCCAUGACCCGAGGCGUGGAAGCUUUUGGUUGUAGCUGAGGUCCUCGAAUGGACGAAGCCCCGAAGUUGAUGCGCGAGCCUCAACCACAAGGAAACAUCCUCCAUGGUCACUUCUCCCAAGAGAUCGCCUGCACAGAUCUUAUUCGAAUGAUUGAUGGAAUGUUUGUCAUAAGCAUAAAGGUCAAGUCUUG